AUAAAAGCGAUGAUUAGAAAGAGUAAAUCUAAUUCGAUUACCAGAGAGAAAAGCUCAUGGGCUGUAAGGCUUUUCAAAUUAGAGGGAUUGAAAACUAUCUAGGAGCUGUGAUCUGAAGUAAUCUCAUUGAUUUUAGUAAGAUUAACCGUAAGCUGCGUUAAAGCAUUAAGUGGAUUUUUAAUCAAUUUAGGUGGAACCGCGGGAAGAUAUCUCGUCCUUAUU
Regulatory RNA element from Terrisporobacter sp., 222 nucleotides. It matches the Rfam family "T-box leader". Rfam says of the family: Uncharged tRNA acts as the effector for transcription antitermination of genes in the T-box leader family. T-boxes are found upstream of many aminoacyl-tRNA synthetase genes and some amino acid biosynthetic genes usually in Gram-positive bacteria. Lineage: Bacteria; Bacillati; Bacillota; Clostridia; Peptostreptococcales; Peptostreptococcaceae. The record is from Rfam.